AUUGAACGCUGGCGGCAUGCUUUACACAUGCAAGUCGAACGGCAGCGCGGGCUUCGGCCUGGCGGCGAGUGGCGAACGGGUGAGUAAUGCAUCGGAACGUGCCCAGUAGUGGGGGAUAGCCCGGCGAAAGCCGGAUUAAUACCGCAUACGACCUGAGGGUGAAAGCGGGGGACCGAAAGGCCUCGCGCUAUUGGAGCGGCCGAUGUCGGAUUAGCUAGUUGGUGGGGUAAAGGCUUACCAAGGCGACGAUCCGUAGCUGGUCUGAGAGAACGACCAGCCACACUGGGACUGAGACACGGCCCAGACUCCUACGGGAGGCAGCAGUGGGGAAUUUUGGACAAUGGGGGCAACCCUGAUCCAGCCAUGCCGCGUGCGGGAAGAAGGCCCUCGGGUUGUAAACCGCUUUUGUUCGGGAAGAAAUCCUCUGGGCUAAUACCCCGGGGGGAUGACGGUACCGGAAGAAUAAGCACCGGCUAACUACGU
RNAcentral lists this ribosomal RNA (483 nucleotides) under uncultured bacterium. RNAcentral's name for it is "partial 16S ribosomal RNA". It matches the Rfam family "Bacterial small subunit ribosomal RNA", at positions 29 to 506 of the family's 1533-position model. The record is from RNAcentral.